UACGGAGGGUGCAAGCGUUGUUCGGAAUUAUUGGGCGUAAAGCGCGUGUAGGCGGCUAUUUAAGUCUGGUGUGAAAGCCCGAGGCUCACCCUCGGAAGGGCACUGGAUACUGGAUAGCUUGAGUACUGGAGAGGAGGGUGGAAUUCCUGGUGUAGCGGUGAAAUGCGUAGAUAUCAGGAAGAACACCGGUGGCGAAGGCGGCCCUCUGGACAGCUACUGACGCUGAGACGCGAAAGCGUGGGGAGCAAACAGG
RNAcentral lists this ribosomal RNA (253 nucleotides) under uncultured bacterium. Its description in RNAcentral is "partial 16S ribosomal RNA". It matches the Rfam family "Bacterial small subunit ribosomal RNA", at positions 524 to 776 of the family's 1533-position model. The record is from RNAcentral.